This is a long non-coding RNA of Bacillus rossius redtenbacheri, 14153 nucleotides long. RefSeq lists it as uncharacterized. The transcript has 6 exons. Lineage: Eukaryota; Metazoa; Arthropoda; Insecta; Phasmatodea; Bacillidae. The record is from RefSeq and is a predicted model, not a curated record.
UAAAAAUCCGAAAAUACCUUUAUUAUAUGCUCUUCAACUUCCUCUUUUCAUUAAAAGCGGCGGAGAUUAGAAAUUCCAAAUACUUUAGGAGAUAUCAAAUUUUUAAAUUUCAGCACAAAACCAGCGCAUUCCUGUGGCGUGCGUGGACCAUUGUUUCUUGUUUACGUACGAGUAUUUUUUUUUAUUGGAUAAUGUCGUCACGUGAUUGUUCGUGAUAGGCCAGAAUUAAAAUUAACUAAUACGUGAUUAUUUAGUUCAAUUAUUGUUUAAAACGGUGUUUAAUUACCGCCUCCAACUUAGGUGAGUUUUUAACGUUUCUAAUUUUAAAGUCUUAUUUGUUAUUUUGAUAUUGUUGCGCAAGUAAUAAGUAACAAAAAAAUUUACCUCAGUUGUUACUGUACAUCCUUUGUUACGGGUUUGUUAUGUAAGGUCAGUUACAUUAUAAAUAAUUUCUAACUAAGGAAUAAUUAAAAUUAAUUCACAUUAUUUUUAAUAUCACCUUAGUUUGAAAGUAUUUAUAAUGUAACUGACCUGACCUAAUCGACCAUUUUAGUUUACUGUUCACCCUUUGUCCGGGUUUGUUUGGUCAGGUCAGUUACAUUAUAAAUAUUUUAAAACUAAACAGCCAUUAAAAUUAAUUCACAAAAUAAUUUUUAAUGUCGGCUUAGUUUGAAAGUAUUAAUAAUGUAACUGACCUGACCUAAACAACCAUUUUAUUAAUUACGCAUUCACGAUUCACGUAUUCACGUCUCACGAACACACGGCAAAAUAACAAAAAUGGCGCCGCUCGUAUGGUUCCACAGGUCUUGUAUUGCAAAAUUAAAAAAUUCGAUAUCUCCUAAAGUAUUUGGAAUUUCUUAUCUCCGCCGCUUUUAAUGAAAAGAGGAAGUUGAAGAGCAUAUCAUAAAGGUAUUUUCGGAUUUUUAACAUUUUUUUUUUGCAAAUACCGCUCAACUCUAAUGAUGAAAUUUAAAAAUUCGAUAUCUCCUAACGUAUUUGGAAUUUCUUACCUCCGCCACUUUUAAUGAAAAGAGGAAGUUGAAGAGCAUAAAAUAAAGGUAUUUUCGGAUUUUUAACAUUUUUUUUCGGAAAUACCGCCCAAGUAAAUAUUUACCGAUGUCUGCUGUUUUAAUUCAGUACAUCGAAAGAUCCUGAUGGCAUGAACCUAUUGGCUUGCUCCUGUGGUACAUUAUGCUUGCUGUUUUAAUUCAGUACAUCAGAAUAUCCUGUACAUAAAAAAAAUUGUCAUAUAAUAAUGAAUUAUGAUCGUAAUUAGAAUAUAAAAUAUUUUAUUUUCGACCUACAACCAUAACUCUUUAUAAGUUCUGAAUUUAUUUUAUGUGCAGUGUCUUCCAACGUACUGAACUAAAAUAGCUAGCAUCAGGAUCAAGCCAACAGAUCCAGGGAUAAAUUUGGAUACAUGAAAUACCAGCCAUAACAAACGCAGAAUAUAUGACGAGUGUAAUCAAAGAAUUCCCUGGAAAGACUGCAAAAUUCAAAAGUGUCAGCUACUUCAGUGUACAGCAUGUAUUCCUCACAGAAAACGAAUGAUUUAACAAAUUUCAAUCAAUUAAAACUUUAGGCUCCCAUUAGACUUGUUCAUUACAGCACUCAAAAUCAUAUGUACUUUAAAUGUAAUGCAACAAAACAAACAUUUCAUACUACAAUUACAUACUUAUUCUAAUAAAACAAAAAGAAAAUGAAAUACAAGCAAUAAAAAUUCCUUAAACUGCAAAACAGUCAUUACUUAAACAAAUUUCAUUAUUACAACACCACCUACAUUGUCUAAAGUUCUCCAAAAAAUAAAAAUUUAAAAAAAUCUGCUGGGUAAACUAAACAAUGAAUGUCAGUAAUUGUGUGAAUACAUAGGCAGACCUGCCAACUCUCACGAUUUUGGUGUGAGGCUCACGAUUUUAAGGUCCAUCUCACGCCCUCACGCCAAAAUAGUGUUUCCUCACGAUUUUUCGGGGCCCCAAGAUUUUGUUUGUAAAAGUUACAAAACAAGUUUUACGAAAGCUUACAGUAACGAGUUUCCAUCAAUACUCGAGUCACGUAAAGGAAGCAAUUUUGCGUUUUGUAGCGUGUGCCGUGCUGAUUUUUCUAUCUCGCAUAGUGGAAGAGGAGACAUUGUGAAACAUGUCGCUACAAAAAACACAACUAACACGUGAAGUGUAUUGCUUCCAAUAAAAAAAUAAAUUUUGCUGUGAACAGUGAUAAUAGUGUUACACGAGCAGAAUGUUAUUUUACAUCUUUUUUAGUUGCGGCCCUGCAUGAUCACUACACGACAGCGCUAAAUAAUGUUCAUCUAAAUUAAAUCUUCAACCUAUAAUUUGUUGAAAUAAAGUUUGAAGCAGAGACCAUGUAACAUAUGUACAGGUAUGUCACUUAAAUUUAAAGAUUCUCAUUUGUUGUUUUUUAUAUCUAACCUGUAUUUAUGGGCCUGAAAUUUUUUAUCGAGGACCUCAUGAUUUUUUAAAUUUGAAUGUUGGCAGGUCUGCAUAGGUAUUGUAAUGUAAGCUUUAAAUUGUUAUUUUUUCACAAACCAAUAGGAAUUACGAAACCUUGUAGGGUUAAUUCAGGAACGUCUCUAGUAUAUGGAAAACAUAUAUUCCUUUUUAUCGCGGGUAAACAAUGAAUGGUGGCGGUAGCGUAAAAGCACAGAUAUUGUAAUGUAAGAUAUAUAAAAUUGUAAUUUUUUUCACAAACUAGUAGGAAUUACGAAACCAUUCGAUUGGAGUUGAAGCCAGGCCUAGGCACUAGACACGCAGCCUGACUCCAGUGGACAUAUCACUAGAAGAAAUUAAAUAGGUUAUAGUACCUAAUUUUUGUGGAGUUUGACGCGUAUUCAAAGAGAAGGCUAGGAAAAAUAGAAUUUUAUUAUAGACAAUCUUUAACAGCUUCAACAUAACAAUAAUAAAUGCGGUAAAUAUGUACAGUCGCGGUAGAUGCCAAAAAAAAAUGCAAAAAAUCCGAAAACACUUUUAUUCUGUGCUCUUUCACUUCCUCUUUUCAAAUCAACCGGCGGAGAUAAGAAAUUCCAACUACUUUCGGAGAUAUCAAAUUUUUUAAUUUUCAUCACAAUACCUGCGUAGUAUGCGGCGAUUACCAUUGUUUCUUGUCAUAGAUAAUAAGGUUUCUUGUUUACGAGUAUCAUGUUUCUUAUUGGACAAUUUUGUCACGUGACUUUUCCGUGAUUGGCCAGUAUUCAAAUGAACCAAUAUGUGAUUAUUUAUUCCGUGAUUGGUCAGUAUUCAAAUGAACCAAUACGUGAUUAUUUAUUCAUUUAUUGUUCAAUACGAUGUUUAAUUAAUCGGUCAACUUCUGCCGUGAACGACUACAUCAUUUCCUUAUAGUGACAAAGGAAAUGUACCCGCCUCCAACUUAGCGGCAUUUUACAAUGGCUGGGGAUAUGGAGAGCAAAUUCUCAGACUGCUGUAAACAAUCAGUCUGUGGAAGGUAUGCAGGUCACAGCCAGGAGGAGCUACAGUGCAGAUCGUUGUGCUAUAUGUUUACAUGAUCUUUCUUUGAUUGUGGAAACUAACUGUGGUCAUUUGUUUUGUGGUCCCUGCUUGGAGCAUUACUUCUUGUUAGGAAAUUACAUACUGCAACCAUUGACUUGUCCAGUCUGCAGAGAGCAGAUUUCUAUGGUGUUCCUAUGCUUUACAGCAGAAGAAGCAGCUUCUCAAGAUGAAACACUUGUUGACGAACGCAACAGUGUUAGAUACAUUGUAUUGCAGUAUAACAGAAGCCACUCAGGAAAUCCACGAACGGUUUUUGACUAUUUCCGGGACCUACCCAUUCUGCUCCGUCACCUGUGGCAAGACUUUUCAUCUCUUGGAAUGAUAAUGAGAAUAAGAAUGAUAGUGGGCAUUGUAGUUGGAAUGAUUUAUCUGUUUGUUCCUACUGACUUACUUCCAGAAGCAAUAUUUGGUGGUUUAGGUUUGUUGGAUGACCUGCUGUUUUUAUGUGUUCUUGCAAUGAUUAUACUCAAUUACUACAGAAAUUUUGUGAGCAAUAAUUUUAUUGAAUAUCAAUGAACAUUAUAAAUAAAAUUUAAAGAACAAAACAGUUUUUAAUUAAACAAUAAUCUGGAAUACACGUUGAACUAUUGAAUGUGAUUCCUAUACUUGACGUGGCAGGAGAUGUGAUUGACUUUCCAUUAAACUUUCACAUCAUGAACCAAAAUGGAACUUAACUUUUUCUACAGUGAUUUUUAAGAACUCUGGUUAUGAUUCAAUUUUUGAAAUACAUAUUAUUUUUUGCAGCAUUAAGUUAUUGGUUUCUUGCACUGCCAUUCUGUCACAGAAAAAAAGCUUAACAAAAUUAAGGCUAAGUUUGCAGUUUAUUUAAUAAUGUUUUGUUUGCUUAAACUAGUUUUAAUUAGUUACAUUUGUGAGUUAUUUUCUGUUUUUCUUCUUUAUGGUAGAAGUGCAUAUUACGUGUAUGUGCAAAUGUCUGUAAAUACGUUUUUUUUAUAGCAAUUUUUAAGCAAGCAAUUAUGGCUUCUUACCAUUUUUUUCCAUCCUGAAGCAUUCACAUUAUCUAAAGUUAAAUUUGUUCCUGAGUCAUGUACUCUAGUCUCAUAAAGGGUUCCAAUCCACAUGUGAUUGAUCCUUAUGUAAAAGACAGUUGUGACAUUAAUAUUAUAUCAUUAUUAAGGACUGUGUAAGGCAAGUGGUUGGUGUGCAUGCGGGAGUAUUGGUAAAGGAUGUUACCGUAGGAUAAAGAUACACAAAUCCAGAAAACUCUACUCUCAGGAACGUCUCCCAUGUGGGGAAUGAGACUCCGAUCUUCCUGAACACAAUUACCAAUGAAUUCCUUGACCUGGCCCACUUGGCAUCGGAAACACUUGACACACUAUUACCUUGUGGGCUUCAAGGCCAUCCACAUGCCUAAUGUCAGCAGGUUGUUGGCAUGUGGCCAAGAAACUACAUGUAAAUUUGUUAAGGCAUUUUUAGUUGUAUGAAUAUUCAAUACUUUUUCAUAACAGGGCAAUACAAACAGAUAAAGUGCCAUAUGGGACGAAUCAGUUCAGACGAGGUGCGGUGCACCCUUGUGGCCGAACGAAAUGCACGCCCCAACUAGGUAUUAAAUAUUUAUUAUUUAGAUUGUCUGCUGCUUGAGGCAGGGCCGGAGGGGGGCUGCACAGAAAGUGUUCAAGACGAUUACAAGCAAGAACGGAACUAGGUACUCGAUUAGUUAUGGCAACGAUGAACUCCUCGGGAUGAUGCAGAAUCCUCCCUCGGAGGACUAUAACUUCAGACUAUGGCGGCCAGUGUGUCUCUUCGCACCAAGAUGAUGCUCGUUAAAAGGUUAUGAUAUUGUGCCGUAGACUAAAAAUAUUACUUACACAAAAACAGUUUUAUAACUAAAACACAAUAUCUCACGUACACUUAACUCUUAUUACCUACAGUAAUUAAUUAUAUUAAAUUUAAAUAUGACCCGCUUGUAUUCGUUUGGGUCCUCUCAGCUCCAUCCAGGCUUGGCUUAUGAAUUAAACAUGAAUUAGCAAUUGGUGUAUUCCAGGGAGUCCGCUGAACAUACAUAACCCUUGUGAAUUAAAAUAAAAAAUAUUUUUUUUAAAUUUAUGUAUAAUUAAUUAUUGGUUUGUUUCACUGAAGUUACAGCAUUUGUCCUCCCAUUUUCUCAUAGUCAUGCCUGCAUUAUUCAAACACAUGAAACACAUCAUAAUAUACAGAGGUGGAUAAAUAUGCUGGUAAAGGAAGGAAAAGGAUGGAGUACUGAGAAGUCAUAUCGGGCUCUGUGGGGCGAAGCCCCUUGAUUGACAUUAGUACAUAACAUAAAUAACAAUAUAUAAUUAUGUGUACAUUAUUUUUCAUUCUCAGUUGGUUAGUUAUGGGUAUUCAGCUUUCAGUUGAAAGAACUUUGAAACACUUUUACCACAAAUUUUUUUUCUUGAACAUAAUUUGUUUAUAUGUGCUUGCUCUAAUAAACUAAUAAUUUAUGAACUAAAAUAAUAAGGCUGUGAUCAUCUAAAAAAUGUCUAAGACUUGCUAAUGGCAGAUUUAUAGAGAAUUUUUUGUAGUAAUAUUUUCAUAAUAAUUGAAUUAGUCUAUUGUAGAAUCAUUACAUAAGAUUUGAGCAACUGCUAUGUUAGUUUUUUGUAUAGGUAAUCCAUGUAAUUUUUGAAUAUAAAUAAAAUAAUCAUUUCUAUUUUUGAAUGUAGACAAAAUUGUGUCCAAAAUAAGUUAUAGUAUAAGAAGUUUUCUUUUUGUGUGUGCAGUAACCAUACUUCACUAACAAUUAGAAUAUUAUCUAGUACAGUCUUGAUUUGCUCUACAACAGAUGUAUUUAUUCAUCAUGUUCAUCAUGUUCAUUUUGGGUCAAUUGUGACAUACUUAAAACACUUUGUUGUGCUUUCCUUUAUUAUGCUUACUAGGUUUAUAUUCUAACUGGUAACUGUGCAUUAGGAAAAAGUGAUAAUUAUUCUGAAAUGUUAGUUAUGUUAACCUAAGGUUUUUAAACAUUUGCUAACUUAGCCAGAUCCAAAACAAUACCUGAUGUCUGAGAAAGAUAUCUGAUUUGUAAAUAGUGACUUGUAAAUAUUACAUAAUUUUACACUGUUGAAUUGCAGUUUUGAAAAUGCAGCAUAACCUUGGAGUCUCAAGUUAACAGAAAGAAGUUAUUAAGGGCUAUAUCUGUGUCACAGGAAAAGGAGCAAUGCAUUUUGAGAUAUGAGAAAGUAAAGUCUGUGGCAACUCUUGUGAGGAACUAGUGAGUGUGGAAAACAAGGUUCAAGUGAUACCUUUAUUAAAAAAGUGAUAUAAACAGUUUCAAGUCUCAAGCAAUAGCUUCAAAUAACAUUCAGCCAUAAACAAGAAGGUAGUAAUUAGUAAUUAAUUUCUGAAUACAUUCAAGCAGAUUUAAUUGGAGUCCACAGAAUUCUGUUUGGAAUGACAGCCAACAGUUGAACAUUAUGUUGUUUACCAUAAAAUACCUAACUCAUGUUUUGUAAAAUAUGAUGUUUCUAAGGGAACUUUUUCCCUUGCAACUUUGGGUAAACUGUUUCUCAAGUGAAGGAUUAGUGAAAAAGGGCUGAAUAACUGGUCACCUUGCUACCUAAUGGAUUUUUUUUAUAGUGUUCAGUCACACAUGUUGUGUACAUUUAGAAUAAUAGAAACUCUGUAACAUGUUUAUAUAAAUUUGAAAUUGACAGUUGCUUCAAUGUCUCUGGUUCUUAGGUAGCACAUGGUCAUCAGAAGUGCUCCCUUUGAAAUGAUUUACAGUUCACAAAGAAUGUAGAUGGAGUUCCUUAUAUAUUCUGUUUACAAUAAAUGUUUAGUUUUAAGUGUACCUACAAUAAGGAUGUGCAAUUAAAAUUCAGGAGCUCUUUCUUUAGACAUAGUAUAUAAAUUCUCGUUAAUCUGUGAAGUUGGGAAAGUGUUCAAACAAUUUAAAUGUAAACUGUUUUUAGUGCUUUUAUUUAAUUAUGUUUCUAACGCAGGCCUGCCACAAAUAUCAGUUUUUGAAUCCUGUUUGUCACAUUUAAAAAGCCUAUAACAUUUAGAAACUAAAUUUACUUUUGUUUACAUUUCAUUGUAAAUUUAACUGUAUAUGUUAAAUAAUUCAUAGGGUGUUUCAAAUGUUAUUUGAGAGACAAUAUUCAAAAGUCUUGGUUUACACAGUAGUAGCUUUUUUGCUUUUUUUUGCUCAAAGUGUACUUUUGAAGUAUUGUCCUUUUUUACACAAGAAAGUUCUUUUGAAGUAUAAAAAAAUUAAACCAUGUAUUUCAAGCCAUUAAAUCGUCACUGCUUUUGAAUCAGUUGUUGCUGAGAACUCAGAACUCUUUCCAUAGCAUUAUCGCUUUGCCAAAUUAUCAGCAUUGUAUCAGUAUUAUAUUUACAUCAAGUCAAAUAUCAGCAUUGUAUUCACAACUUUCUUAUGUGCUGAUAAAACCACCAAAUACUCUUGUUUAUGUUCACACACACUGUGCCAGUAUGAACCAGUGACCUGUUUUGGUAAAGCUGGUAUUUAUCCCCUAAUGGAAGCUGUGAUAAAUUCAUCAUUGUCUGCAUCAUCUGCCCCAAAUAAUAUUUGGUAACCUAUAGCAAGCAUCUCAGUUUUUUGUCAGUCUCUUGAUGGUUUGUUUCAGGAAUCGAGAGUCGUUGUUUUUGUUAAAACAUCAUCCUCAAGAGGCAAGUAGCGAUAAAGCUCUUUAGUUCUUGUUUGGUUGAACUUUCUGAUGUCCCCUAAGAAUUAUCAUCUCUGCUCAAGAACCAAAUUGCAGGUCUCUGGGAAACCUCAGUACGUAAAUAUUUGUUAACUCGGUUGUUGGUUUUUACACCUGACUUCUACUUUUGUGAUGCCACAUUUCUAAAAUAUGAAACAUUUUUCUCAACUUUUUCCAUAUUGCUUGAGUAACACACAGAGUUCAGAAUAGAGUUUAUAGAUGUAUAGCUUUCCUUUUUAAAAUAUGGUGUUGAAUUUAGAAAAUCUUGGCGGUACACUUGGAGAAACAAAAGUAAAGUUAAGCCAAAUAAGAACAUAUAAGUACUGUUUAUACAAUACUAGGUUCUGCCUUUCUUACUCAUCUAAAUAAUUAAAUGACUACAUCAGUCCAGACUAUGGCUAUAACAUGUGUUACACACUGUAAAAAAGCAACAAUGUCAGGAAACAUGGUAAAAUAAUGUUGUGUGAUUUGAGCCUUAAAUUCCAGAGUAUGUAUUCUUAAAUUCAUCUUUUCACUUUUGUGUGGUCUUCAAGUGCACAUAGAUUUAUUUUGAUAAUAGUUCACAUACUGUAGGCAUGAGAUGCUACUAGGUUAGCUAUGUAAGCAUAUGCAAUGCAAUAAAAUAACACAUUCUCUACUUUGUAUUAAUGAGAUUUAACAGCAUCAUAUGAAAGAACCUUGGACUGGUUUUUGUGUAAAACAGUAAAAUUUCCAUGCUAUUUCUUUAUCUGGAAAUAUUUGGGGAACUAGUUUAGUGAAAAGUUUUACAGGUAAAUUAUUCUUGCAGAGUUUCCCCAUAAUAGGUCUGCAACUAUAAUUUUGUUGUGUGUUUUUGUGACCAAACUGGUCAAAGAAACAGUUUUAUUAGCAGCUUGUUGAUUUCUUGUAUAAACUUGCCAACUUCCAUGUCUACGACUAUCUUUCAGUCCACCCUUUGUCAGGUUGAGUUGAAAACUGCUUGUUGUACAAAUGGCUAAAAGUAAAAUUUUACAAUGCUUAAGCCAUUUUUAAUCUCACUCCCUUUCUUAACGUUUAUGUUUGAACAAGAAACUGUCCAGCUCUGCCUUUCGUUUUCUCUUCUUUCAAAAUGGACAUCUUCUUUCAAAAUGGACAAAAAUUCAAAAAUACUGAACUCAAUUUAAUACAAACAUGUUUUUUGAAACCUGAAACUGCAAACAAUUUAUACACUUCUUUAGAUUUGGAAGUGUCAUUGAACCACCCUUCUAUGAAUUGUUUGCUUUUGGUUUUCUGCAUGCAGUUUAUUUUAGUGGUAAGUUAAUAUUCAAACAGGUGUAAAUUGAAUUGGAAAUUAUUGUUCAACCAUUACCUACUUUAAUUCUGGUACAUGACCAUUUUUUUUUUUCCAGUAGUUCAUUCUUGAAAACUGAUAAAAUUCCAUAAAAUGGUUUGCCUUUUUGGUCACAUUUUUGUACAGUUUUAAAAUUAUUUCACCUUCCAAUUUUAGGUUUUUAUUAUAUCCUUGAUACACUUGGUUAUUUGAGCUAAACACCUAUUCAUUUUUUUUAUAUAUAAUGAAAAUAACCAACAUUUAGUUUAAUGGUUACUGUGAGUUACAGACUUAACUUGUUCGCUUCUUGGAUUUUGAAUGGUUCUCCAUCUAAUUUAAAUAUGCCACCGGACUUACUGUCACACAAAAUUGGUUUGUUGAAAGUUUGAUGUAUAAGAUAAAAGAAAUCUUUAUGAACGGGAACUAAGAAAAGUAUUAAAACAAAUUACUUACAUCAUUGAGUUGUCUGUAAAAUACAGACUUUCAUUGCUUUGAGAAGUCUAUUGUUAAUUUAGACACUAAGAAAUUGUUAGUUACUAAAAACAUACAUUAUGUAUUGGUACUGGACAGUUCUUGAAAUUAUUUAGCAGCAGUUAGGAUCAGUUUUCACAACAUUGAAACCAAUGCCUUAAAACUUUUGAAAAUAUAGCAUAUUAUUUGGAUUUUGUGCAAUUUGUAAUAUUAUGGCUGACAAUUAUUAUAGUGAAAACUCAUUUUUACACUAGGGAAUAUAAUGAGAAAUUUGGGAAAGUGUAAAAACAGAAAAAAUUAUAAAACACUAUUAAGUUUUGGAAAAUAGAGAAAUGUGUAAGAUAUGGUAUUUCAGGGUGUCUACCCAUGUUGGGUCACAGAAUUCCUGUACAAUUCCCAUACAUUCCUGUACACUAAUAAAAAAGUUCAUGUACAUUUACAGCUUACACAAUCACUAAUUAGGAUAGUAGCAAUGUUAAAAAAAAUUGUACAAAAAAUGCUCACAAAAAAUAUUUUUACCAAAAACUUGUAUUUCAAGAAAAUUUGUCACAGGAAAGUUAGGCCUACCUUUGUGUUGAUAAAAUUUAGCUCAUUCUAGGUUACUUUGCACUGCAGCCAAACUUUGCCACAUGGCAACUGUCAAAUUUUUAACUUUUAUCUUUAGAGGCUGUAUAUAUACCUGUACCUACCAGUUUUGUUUUUAUUAUUUUUGUUUCCCAUGUCUGUAUUUUUGGUAUAUUUAACUUAUACUGUUUGUGUAUUAACUUUUAUUUGUUGACGUGUCCUAUACCAUUUGUACAAAUGUCUGUAUGGUCAAAUGGAUGAAAAUAAAUAAAUAAAUAAACUACACGCACCCAAAACAAUCGUGGCAGCAGCGCUGUUGUAGAAAGAUGCAUGUGACUGGCAUGACCUUGCGCGCAAUAUGCAACUUGCCAAAUGCCAAUUUUGCCAACCAAGUUCCUGUCCAACAGAGUACAGUACACCCGCCCCUCGAAGUAACACGGUAAUCCAUCCAAAGAAAAAUGGAGCACCAAUCAAAACAGCGCUAAACAAAUACGUUUUUGACAUGUUAAUGCAUGUUAAACAAAAUAACUAAAUACAUUUAAAGUACAAAUAAAAUGCAUGAAUUGCAUUUUGAGGAUUAAAAACCGGGAAUAACAAAAUACUAAAUUAAAAAUUUAGGCAGCGUAAUUGACCGGUACUUACAUGGCCUACUAACCUCACAAUAUCUUUAUUAAGCAGGCUCUAACACAUGUUUACUUUAUAAAAUAAUGUAUUAUUUAAAUGAAAACUUAGUUUCAAUGUUUUAUCGGAUUAGAUGAAUAAUUUUACGUUUUCUAUUAACAAAAAAAUUUUUUUUUCUGGAAACGUAAUGCGCUGUCAACUUUAACUAGUGCAACCUGGCAUGCAUGAGAUUAACUGACCUCGAAAGCUUCUGACCUUUCUCGCCAGAUGGAAGUAGUAGCAUAAACAUGGCUGUAUAAACACGCUGCAUGGAUAUAUAAACGUAAUUUUAUUGCUUGUAAAACUUUUAACUAGACAUAAGAAAACAGGCAUCGAAAAAUUGAAUAACUAUUACGGAAAAGUGAAAACUAACGUUUUUUUAAUUCAUUCUUUUAUUAAAAUUAUACAAGUGCCGAGAUUGAUUAUGUUGCACUGUGUUUGAUACAAGAGUGCCGUUGCCAUUAUGCGCGCGUGUAAAUUAAAAAUUUUUGUGGACGAAAAAGAACGCUACUUCAAAAAGAGCCCUAAUUAAUUGGCGCUAAUCGAGCAGCGUUACUUCGAGGGGUGGAUGUAUACUCACACAGAGCAGACUGGCUUGCAGCUGCCUCCGGCCGGCGCAAUUAACUUUGUCAUACGCGCUUAAUUUUUAUACACACGUGAUAAUGGUCGCUUGUAUACAAAAAUAAUACGACACGGCAUAUAAUAUGAUUUUUGAUUCGCGACCACUGAAAUCAGCAUAAAAUUCUUGCAAUAUACGCCGGCAAAUACUAUAUAUUUUGCAGGUAUGUUGUCUACUUUCUUCCGAUGUUCACAAAACGAAAACAAUUUGUUAAUAAAAAGAUUUCUCAUAAAUAACUUCUGUACAUACACAAAGAUGCAUUAUUAUUAUUAUUACUUACCAUUCGGACGAACUUUAACAAUAACCACACUAUACAACACGCAAAAAUAAACUGGAUGAAAAUUUAAGCCUGAGCGGGAACGACCAUUAACGAACGACCACAGUAACAAAAGAAACUGGGCGAGUCCACGCGCCUUACGCAAGUGGUUAUCACGAUUACGCGGCAACUUGUGUUGGUUGAUCCCAUCGUCUGAAUUCAGCACUCUGCAGUAAAGCACCAAUAGAUUGUAGAGAAGCAAUAAUCACACGAUUAACGAUUGUGUUGCAGUAAAAUCUUCGCUUUUUAAUAUUAAUAUAUAAAUGUUGUUGACGGGCGGGGAAAAGUCAAAAGUUCCCGGACAUCGGGAUAAAUUCCCGCAGAAUCCCUGUAUUUUUCCCGGGCAGUAUAAUUCCUGUACAAUUCCCGUUUAUCCCGGUCGGUAGACACCCUGUAUUUACUGUAUUGUCAACAUAUUUAAGUACCCUUGUCCACUAAUCAUGGUAGUAGUGUUCCUAGGUUCUAAAAAAAAUAAUUUGCACAAAGAAAAACAUUUUAUUAAGAGAAAAUUGUUACUAAGUAAUUAAUAUAUAGCCUUCAAAAUCUUAUACAGUAAAAACUCUUUUGUCCAGCAGGCUUGGAAGCUUAUUUGUGAAAGAUUAGCAAUUUUGUCAGAUUAUCAAACAUUAGUAUAGUUUCCAUGAGAAUAAAAAAAAGUACAGUUAUAUUCCAAACAAGCUAUAGUAAUUUGCUCUAUGGCUGUACACUAUCACACAGUUGUGAUAGGGUGCGAAUGUGUAUGUAACCCGCUAGACAACAGGAAUCCGCCGGAUAAAAUUUGAACGCGAGCUGCUAAAUCGAUGCCGGAUUAUAAUAUGGCAGAGUAAACAACGCCUUUUGUAAAUAAUGAUUGUACAUAAAAUUUAGGGUGUCUAUAAGUCACGAAAAUGUUUUGAAACACACAAUAUUGGUGUCAGAAGUCACAAAAUCUUAAUUUUGAGCAGCUUUUUCAUAACUUACCCUUUCUUAUGCCAGCUUUCAAUUUAUAUUUGCACAUUAAGUAUAAGUAGUUGGAAUGUAAAAAUUAUCUCGGAAUAUAUUUUAUCUUUCUUACACAUUCAUGUGAAAAAUAGAUAUAUUCCUUAUUAUGUUUAAUGUUGCUUAUUAUAUAAAAAAUUAUUGUGUGUUAUAAAUAAGUUAAAAUAAAAUUAUAUAAAAAUGUCCUAAAAAUGGUUUCUCAGGUGUCUGUUGACACCCUAAAUUAUCCCUGACUUUGUCAUAAGAAAAUGGACAGUGCCAUUGUAUUUAGGUUUUAUAAAGUAAUACUUUUUUAUUUUUAUUUUAUAGACUUAAGUUUUUUGUGAUCUAGUAACUCACUAUGGUACUGAUUUGAUUUUUUUUACACUGAUAUAUUAAAAGCUUCUAAUUUCCAAUGAAUAUUUUUUUCCAUGCUUUUAAGUUAUUAUAGACAAUUGUUUUCAAAUUUCUUAGAAUUCCAGAUGAAAUCAACAUGUAAUUUUUUAAAAGACAUUGGAAUGUAAGUAAGUAUAUUAACUGCAUUAAACUUAAAUAUCUUUGUGGUUUUACUAAAAGUUACUGAGUGUUACUUAGGUACAAAGUUUUUUUAGUACUAUGUCAACUCUUGCAGUGUUAUAAGUUAAAAAUUAAUAACAUUUUUGGUGAAUGUCUCUGUCAGUUGCUGCUACCUUAUCUGUUAAUAUUUUUAAGUGAGCAAAUACUAUACCUAGCUGUUUUGAUUCUGUUUGUUAGUGCAUAAAAUGGUACACUUAUGAUUAUAUUUGCCUCUUGACAUAGUAAAAAUUCAUAUUGUGUAGAUAUAUUAUUUCCAUCUUUAAGACCUUUUAUUUUGUAAAUGAUUUAUUAGUAGAGUCAUUAGGCAGUAAAAUUUAAAAAAAAAAUUGUACCUAAUACUAAAGUAAAUAUAUUACAAACCAUUUCAUAACUUUUUUCAUCAUAAAAUUAUUUUGUGAAACAAUAAAUUGCUCACUGUGUGUAUUGAAAUGUUGCGAGUGUUAAGUAAAUUUGUACAAACAUUUAUUUUUCCAUUUUUGCAUUGUAUAUGGAAAUAAAUUUUGUAAACUCA